AGAGUUACGAUCCUGGCUCAGAUUGAACGCUGGCGGCAGGCCUAACACAUGCAAGUCGAGCGGAAACGAUCCUAGCUUGCUAGGAGGCGUCGAGCGGCGGACGGGUGAGUAACGCGUGAGAAUCUACCCAUGAGUGGGGGACAACCCGGGGAAACUCGGGCUAAUACCGCAUACGCCCCACGGGGUAAAGCAGGGGACCUUCGGGCCUUGCGCUGAUGGAUGAGCUCGCGUCGGAUUAGCUUGUUGGUGAGGUAAAGGCUCACCAAGGCGACGAUCCGUAGCUGGUCUGAGAGGAUGAUCAGCCACACCGGGACUGAGACACGGCCCGGACUCCUACGGGAGGCAGCAGUGGGGAAUAUUGCACAAUGGGCGCAAGCCUGAUGCAGCCAUGCCGCGUGUGUGAAGAAGGCUUUCGGGUUGUAAAGCACUUUCAGCGAGGAGGAACAGUUAGUAGUUAAUACCUGCUAGCCUUGACGUUACUCGCAGAAGAAGCACCGGCUAACUCCGUGCCAGCAGCCGCGGUAAUACGGAGGGUGCAAGCGUUAAUCGGAAUUACUGGGCGUAAAGCGCGCGUAGGCGGCUUACUAAGCCAGAUGUGAAAGCCCAGGGCUCAACCUUGGAACUGCAUUUGGAACUGGUUCGCUAGAGUACAGUAGAGGGUGGUGGAAUUUCCAGUGUAGCGGUGAAAUGCGUAGAGAUUGGAAGGAACAUCAGUGGCGAAGGCGGCCACCUGACUGAUACUGACGCUGAGGUGCGAAAGCGUGGGGAGCAACAGGAUUAAUACCCUGGUAGUCCACGCCGUAAACGAUGUCUACUAGCCGUUGGGAACUUGAUUCUUAGUGCGCACUAACGCACUAAGUAGAAC
This 865-nucleotide ribosomal RNA is filed under the name uncultured bacterium. Its description in RNAcentral is "bacterial SSU rRNA". It matches the Rfam family "Bacterial small subunit ribosomal RNA", at positions 8 to 870 of the family's 1533-position model. The record is from RNAcentral.